ACUCCUACGGGAGGCAGCAGUAGGGAAUCUUCGGCAAUGGACGAAAGUCUGACCGAGCAACGCCGCGUGAGUGAAGAAGGUUUUCGGAUCGUAAAACUCUGUUGUUAGAGAAGAACAAGGACGUUAGUAACUGAACGUCCCCUGACAGUAUCUAACCAGAAAGCCACGGCUAACUACGUGCCAGCAGCCGCGGUAAU
RNAcentral lists this ribosomal RNA (197 nucleotides) under uncultured bacterium. RNAcentral's name for it is "partial 16S ribosomal RNA". It matches the Rfam family "Bacterial small subunit ribosomal RNA", at positions 335 to 524 of the family's 1533-position model. The record is from RNAcentral.